RNAcentral lists this ribosomal RNA (482 nucleotides) under uncultured bacterium. Its description in RNAcentral is "partial 16S ribosomal RNA". It matches the Rfam family "Bacterial small subunit ribosomal RNA", at positions 30 to 507 of the family's 1533-position model. The record is from RNAcentral.
AUUGAACGCUGGCGGCAUGCCUUACACAUGCAAGUCGAACGGUAACGGGCCUUCGGGUGCCGACGAGUGGCGAACGGGUGAGUAAUACAUCGGAACGUGCCCGAUCGUGGGGGAUAACGAGGCGAAAGCUUUGCUAAUACCGCAUACGGUCUACGGAUGAAAGCAGGGGACCGCAAGGCCUUGCGCGGACGGAGCGGCCGAUGGCAGAUUAGGUAGUUGGUGGGAUAAAAGCUUACCAAGCCGACGAUCUGUAGCUGGUCUGAGAGGAUGAUCAGCCACACUGGGACUGAGACACGGCCCAGACUCCUACGGGAGGCAGCAGUGGGGAAUUUUGGACAAUGGGCGCAAGCUUGAUCCAGCCAUGCCGCGUGCAGGAUGAAGGCCUUCGGGUUGUAAACUGCUUUUGUACGGAACGAAAAGCCUUCUUUUAAUACAGGAGGGUCAUGACGGUACCGUAAGAAUAAGCACCGGCUAACUACGUG